UCUGCAGAUAACCUUCCCCAUUAAAUCCUCACAGCUCGACCUACACCAAGUUAGGACAAAAGCUACCAAUACUUUAUGGUCUCCCUGCAGUUUUUCUGUGUUGUGAACUUGUAUCGAUCCCUCACAUCCCAUCCUUCACCAUUCUCUGGGGAUUGAUGGAGCCACCAUCUUCUCAAGUAAUGUCAACCGGGGAUGAUUCACAAGAUAGAAUCAUCAAGGCAUGUUGCUCUUGCUGCUAUGAGUGCUCCACCAGUUUCCUUGACUACAUAUGCUGUUCCUGCCUCUGGGACUGCUAGCCUUGACAGCACAAGAAGCUUCGAGCAAGGAAUCAAUGGAUCCUCCUCAGCAAGAACAGUUAUACUUGGUGGAGUUGGAAGGGGCAGGAGCAAAGGAAAGCACUCAGUUGUGCUUCUAAUCUUCUGCUGACGCUAAAUUCUUUGUCUUCAAAAAUCAUCUCUGGAUAUCUAAUGAAUGACCAGAAUGUUGCAAGUGGAA
This is a long non-coding RNA of Musa acuminata AAA Group (dessert banana), 495 nucleotides long. RefSeq lists it as uncharacterized. Lineage: Eukaryota; Viridiplantae; Streptophyta; Magnoliopsida; Zingiberales; Musaceae. The record is from RefSeq and is a predicted model, not a curated record. The transcript is spliced from 2 exons.